This 554-nucleotide ribosomal RNA is filed under the name Leotia lubrica. Its description in RNAcentral is "eukaryotic LSU rRNA". The stretch from base 202 to 354 matches the Rfam family "5.8S ribosomal RNA". The record is from RNAcentral. Lineage: Eukaryota; Fungi; Ascomycota; Leotiomycetes; Leotiales; Leotiaceae.
AAGGUUUCCGUAGGUGAACCUGCGGAAGGAUCAUUACCGAGUGCUGCCUCUGGGCAACCUCCCACCCCUGAUUACCGUACCACUGUUGCUUUGGCAGGCCCGCCCCCCGGGGGCCGCCGGCGGUAAGCUGGCCUGUGCCUGCCAGAGGACCACAAAACCCGAGUCUGCGUGUUGUCUGAGCGUCACAUAAGAAUAAGUUAAAACUUUCAACAACGGAUCUCUUGGUUCUGGCAUCGAUGAAGAACGCAGCGAAAUGCGAUAAGUAAUGUGAAUCGCAGAAUUCAGUGAAUCAUCGAAUCUUUGAACGCACAUUGCACCCUCUGGAUUCCAGGGGGUAUGCCUGUCCGAGCGUCGUCACAAAAGAUCCCUCGAGAUUCCCAGGAGCUUGACGGACGUUGGGUGUGGCCCCGAUCACUGGGGCCCUCCCAAAAGCCAGUGGCGGCGGUGGCCCGGCCCCGAGCGCAGUAGACUUCUCUCGCCCGGGGGCCUGGGUGGCGUGCCGGCCAGCAAGACUUUAGCCACACCAAAGGUUGACCUCGGAUCAGGUAAGGAGC